This 440-nucleotide ribosomal RNA is filed under the name uncultured bacterium. Its description in RNAcentral is "partial 16S ribosomal RNA". It matches the Rfam family "Bacterial small subunit ribosomal RNA", at positions 338 to 795 of the family's 1533-position model. The record is from RNAcentral.
CCUACGGGAGGCAGCAGUAGGGAAUAUUGCACAAUGGGGGAAACCCUGAAGCAGCAACGCCGCGUGGAGGAUGAAGGAUUUCGGAUUGUAAACCUCUAUUGUUAGAGAAGAAAAUGACGGUAUUUAAUGAAUAAGAACCGGCUAACACCGAGCCAGCAGCAGCGGUAAUAAGGAGGUGGGAAGCGUUACUCGGAAUCACUGGGGGUAAAGAGCGCGUAGGCGGGAUAGCAAGUCAGAUGUGAAAUCCUCUGGCUUAACCAUAGAAGUGCUUUUGAAACUGUUAUUCUAGAGUCUUGGAGAGGUAGGUGGAAUUCUUGGUGUAGCGGUGAAAUGCGUAGAUAUUAAGAGGAAUACUCGUGGCGAAGGCGACCUGCUAGAACAUAACUGACGCUGAGGCUCGAAAGCGUGGGGAGCAAACAGGAUUAGAUACCCCAGUAGUC